This 434-nucleotide ribosomal RNA is filed under the name uncultured bacterium. RNAcentral's name for it is "partial 16S ribosomal RNA". It matches the Rfam family "Bacterial small subunit ribosomal RNA", at positions 29 to 507 of the family's 1533-position model. The record is from RNAcentral.
AGCGAACGCUGGCGGCAGGCCUAACACAUGCAAGUCGAACGAACCUUUCGGGGUUAGUGGCGGACGGGUGAGUAACACGUGGGAACGUGCCUUUAGGUUCGGAAUAACUCAGGGAAACUUGUGCUAAUACCGAAUGUGCCCUUCGGGGGAAAGAUUUAUCGCCUUUAGAGCGGCCCGCGUCUGAUUAGCUAGUUGGUUGAGGUAAUGGCUCACCAAGGCGACGAUCAGUAGCUGGUCUGAGAGGAUGAUCAGCCACAUUGGGACUGAGACACGGCCCAAACUCCUACGGGAGGCAGGAGUGGGGAAUCUUGCGCAAGGGGCGAAAGACUGACGCAGCCAUGCCGCGGGAAUGAUGAAGGUCUUAGGAUUGUAAAAUUCUUUCACCGGGGACGAUAAUGACGGUACCCGGAGAAGAAGCCCCGGCUAACUUCGUG